RNAcentral lists this long non-coding RNA (1104 nucleotides) under Ananas comosus (pineapple). RNAcentral describes it as "long non-coding RNA (ACOM_LNC039826)". The record is from RNAcentral. Lineage: Eukaryota; Viridiplantae; Streptophyta; Magnoliopsida; Poales; Bromeliaceae.
UUUUUGGUGGACUUGGUGCACGAGUGAUGUCCACGUGUUGCUUCAUUGUUUGUCCAAAUGGCGGCCACGUGUUGAAUUUUCAUUUGCUUGGUGGAGGCCAAAAAUUUCUUUUUAAAAUGGAAAGGUGGACUGGAGGUGUCUGUUGGGAAACAGACUUAGGAACCGUGCUGUUGGUGGUGGAGUUGGAUCAAAGGUGAUUAAAAAGAAAAGACUGCAAAAUAGAAACUGAUUAGCGAAAAAGCCCUAACUAAAAACCCUUAUUUUUGCCUGUGAAAGAAUCACAGCGGGUUAAUUCUUUUUUCUUUUUUCUUUUUCUGAUUUUUUCUUUCUUUUCUUGAUUUUUUCUUUUUUCUUCUUUUUCUUUUUCCAAUUUUUUCUUUGAUUUUUUCAAUUUCCAGAUUCUUUCUUCUUCUUCAUAUUUCCACUUUUCUCUGGAAAUUCUUUUUUUUCAUUUUUCUCUUUUGCUUUUUUCUGAAUUUUCAUUUUCAUUUUUUUUUUUUUUUAGCAGUGUCCAAUACAAGGACUAAAAGAAAAGAAGCAGCUAAAGUUGCAGAACUGAAAGAAAUAUUUACAAAAAUAUACAAAAUAUCAGAACCAGGUGGCUAAGCAUUUUCCCCUAAAUUGUCACAUUUGGGAGAAGAUGCUUCUAGUAUCGUAGGAUUUCCUUGUUUUUCUUCAGUGUUUCCUAUACUAGGGUGUGGUAAUGGUUCUGAAGAGGAUUCAAUUUUUCGGAAAGGUUUGGCAAUUGGCUGUGGAUAUCUUUUGAGGGAAGGCCUUUGUGGUGGAAAAGGUGCUGAGGAUAAAAAAGGUUUUACUGAGAUAGAGGGAUGGACUACUGGGAUUAGUGGGUUUUGAAAUGGAGUAUUUUGAAAUGGAGUAUUUAUGUCGGUCAUAGGAGGAAAGACCAAACUCGGUGUAGUUGUCAUUAUAGGAUGAUACUUUGGAGGAAGAUAAGAGGAAGAUUGAGGUAGAGAUACAAUACCUUGUUGUGAGGGAUGCUUGAGGUAUUUGAUCUGUUGUUCCAGAAUAGCAAUUCUUUGGAUGUUUUUCUGAUCCUUUGUUCUCAAGUCAUCACAAAUAGUGUUCAGUUUUUGAAGCUGUGUU